This 221-nucleotide ribosomal RNA is filed under the name uncultured bacterium. RNAcentral describes it as "partial 16S ribosomal RNA". It matches the Rfam family "Bacterial small subunit ribosomal RNA", at positions 114 to 334 of the family's 1533-position model. The record is from RNAcentral.
CGCGUAAAGAACUUGCCUCACAGCUAGGGACAACAUUUAGAAAUGAAUGCUAAUACCUGAUAUUAUGAUUUUAAGGCAUCUUAGAAUUAUGAAAGCUAUAAGCACUGUGAGAGAGCUUUGCGUCCCACUAGCUAGUUGGAGAGGUAACAGCUCACCAAGGCGAUGAUGGGUAGCCGGCCUGAGAGGGUGAACGGCCACAAGGGGACUGAGACACGGCCCUU